Non-coding RNA from Oryctolagus cuniculus (rabbit), 2131 nucleotides. The record is from RefSeq and is a predicted model, not a curated record. NCBI's taxonomy places the organism in Eukaryota, Metazoa, Chordata, Mammalia, Lagomorpha, Leporidae.
GAUAGGAGAGGCAGAGAGAGAGAGGUCUCCCAUCCAUUGGUUCACUCCCCAGUUGGCUGCGCCAAUCUGAAGCCAGGAGGCAGGAGCUUCUUCCGGGUCUCCCAUGUGGGUGCAGGGGUCCAAGGACUUGGAUCAUCUUCUACUGCUUUCCUGUAUUAUACCAUUUAUGAAAAGUUUUUAAAAACUACAAAAUAAUACCAUGCAUUGUUUUCACUGUUUAUUCGUAUGUCAAAAUUUUAGAGUGGGCAGAUGCAUCACGUAAUUUGACUGCUGUUAUGUCUUGAGAAUCGGAAGGGGAUUGGGACGGGGCAUAUUUCUAAUAUUCUUUUUAUCGAAAGUGUUCUUGAGGAAAAUAUGGUAAUAAUUGCCGAUUUGCGGCAGGGAGCACACCACCGUUUUGUCUUUCUUUGUACUCCUUGUAGUUUUGAGGAUACAUUCAUAAAUUCUUUGAUAUUCCCUCCCUGGGAGGUGGAGCUUAGUUUCUCUUCGUUGGGGCUGGACUUGGUGUCUUGCUUCCCGUAAACAGAAUAUGAGCUGUCGUGGCCAAGACUAGGAGACUGCCGCUUCUCUCCUGGGCUCUUUCAUGUCCCCUCUCUCCGGGUGUGUGAGGAACUGAAGUCUCCCCGCAGCAGCCAGACGAGUGAGCUCGGAGGCAGACCCUCCCGCCUCUUCAGAUGAACACAGCUCUGGCCAGCAGCCUGACCAUGACCUCGUGAGGCUGAAGAACAACCACCAAGCUACGUCACUCUCUGCUUCCGGACCCUUAGACAUCAGGCUCUCCGAGGAGCACAGACCGUGUCCAGCUAUGGCUGUUCCCUUAUCUGCCAGGGAAGGUGGCUGAAGUCAGAAGAGGAAAGGAACCAGACAAGGCUUUUCUCCGGUCCCAAUCACCGGAUUUAACACAUGUGAACUACUGAAAUAUGUCGGGAUAAAAACGAUUACCCAUGCAAACUGUCUCAGUCAACAACGCCAAGACUGCGGACUCCUCCUCCAGUCCCAUGGCCACAGUGUGUAUGCCGGAUACCUGCACGCCACACCGAGAACAUCAGCAUUCUAUCAAGUCAAGCCAUCUUCACUGCGUUCCAGCCCUGCGCCAGGCACUGUGCCAAGCCGUCUGUACGGGACUAUUCCUUCUUCCCCAAGUUUUCACCUAACUUCUGCUCUUUCCUCAGGGAGAUUUCCCAGCGCUCUCAGUUAGUUUAGGUUAUCCACGAAGUGAAUGCCAAUGUUAGGUGAGACACGUAAGAGAUUUAUUGGUGGGGCCUGCAUUGCUGGAGGAAAAAGGGCAAGAACCAAGAGUAGACAGAGAAAGUGUCAAAUAUCCAUGCAGGUCUGAGAUCUACUGAAGAGGAGGAAGUCAGAACCGGAAGGGCAAAGAAUGCAGCCAGGCCCAUGCCGAGUUCUCAGGCUAGAAGUGCCCGUUAGAGAAGUUCCUCACCUUGCCUAAACUGCCUGGCACCAGGUCUGGUCAUCAGCUGGCUGGAGCUCGGGAGAAGCAUGUGUGGCCUUAGCCCUACGCAUGGUGGAAGUCCAGAGAGGCAGUCCGCUGUGCUCUCCAAACAUGAGUCCUGCAUAUCCAUGGCCAUCCCGCCCUCCAGAGUGAGUGAGAGUUCCUCAGUUACUUGCUCUUAAAGCAACAGUGUUUUCUUUUUCUCAGUUAUCAGCAUUAAAAUUUAAAUUUUGCUUUAGCCAUUUUAAAGGUUAUGCUCUCUCUCUGAAUGGUAAGCUGCAUCAGGGAAGUUGCCUAGUUAUCACUGCAUCCCAAGACACACAAGAUGAGAUGGCACACAGUACGUACCACAUACAAUAGUCACCAUUUUUAUCCGCUCGCUAUUCUGUUCCAUUCAUUACUACAUUCAAGCUGGCUUCACACUGCAAUUAAAAACCACAGAUCCCAGAGCUCAAUGUUAUUUCUUCUGGAGCAUCUUAGUUUUUAUAUGUUAGCCAAGCGUAACCCAAAGUGAUGAAGUUGAAGAUGGACUUUUAGGACUGUAUUAAUGUACAUUCAUGCAGAGAUAAAGAGUCCUAUUGUAGGUUAUUUCCAAUUUCCUGAGUGAGUAUACUCUGGUGCCUGCUCUCUUCUGGGCUGAGAUUCCUGUAGCCUGGUGAUCGUGUCUCUCUAAAUAACCUG